Molecule: long non-coding RNA, 1647 nt
Organism: Parus major (Great Tit)
Lineage: Eukaryota; Metazoa; Chordata; Aves; Passeriformes; Paridae
Source: Ensembl
ACCGAGGUUUAUUCUGAGCGCUGCUAAUUGCAGCCUCCUCUGCUAAAUCAUUAACAGCUCGACAGCCCGAGCAGAAAUCCUGCAGUGCCGGAGGGUUCUGGGGACUCAGGCUGUGCCUUGCCUCGCGGCAGGGACAUUUCUUGUCUUUUUCUUGUAUUUGCAUGGACCGGCCACCGUGUGCUCAGCGCUGGGAUGUGACACUGGGAGACACGGCUGCUCUGGGGGCUCACCCUCAGCCCCGCUUGCCCAGUGCCCCCAGCUCAUCUUCUCUUUCCUUAAACUCGUGUCCAGGCACAGCUGCUCCCCCUUUCUGUCCUUCGCUCCCCCCGGAGCAGGGGCUGGAGCUGGGAAGGCAUCAAGCAGCGCAGACACGGGGGGUGACCCGAAAAGGGAAUUAUUUUCUGGGCAGGUAAUGACGGAGCCUCCUGAGCUCCCUCCAACCUCGGCGAUUCCAGCUUUUCAUUUUGGGGGAGCAGGGGAAGCUCAGGGAGGGACACACCCGGCCCUUUCCCCUUCUGGGAGUACCCUUGGGGGUCCGGGUUCCGCCGAAUCAGAGCAAAGAAACGAGAGAGAAGGGUGCUCUGUUUAAUUCCUGCCUGUCCCCACAGGUUUUUUGGGCUGGGGGAAGAGAAAGCACGAAAAGAGCUUUAACCCCACGGUGGAGCAGCAUCCCUCAACUUCCACACCCCAUUUUAGAGCAUCGUUUGUAUCGGACAGCCGAGGAUGGCUCAGGCCGGACUGGAAAGCAGCCUGAGGAGCUCCGGGGAAUGUCGGAGCCGUGUUCCGAGCCCGGGCGGGGGGGAUGCGCUGGCGGCCGGGGGAUGGGACGAGCCGGCAGCGGGGGCCGGAGCGGUGACGCAGCGGCCGCUGACGCUGCUCCGGUGCCUGGCAGACGUGUGGCAGCCUGGCAGGAGCACGAAUGUGAUGCAAAGCACAGGAGAUGAGGGGUUUUUAUUCCUCCUAAGACCCACGCACCUUCACGAAGAUGGAGCCGCUGAGGAUGACAUUCCAGCAGGAGGAACCCCAAACCCAGGCUCUGGGGGGAGCAAGGUGACAGCGGCACCUCCCGCUGCAGCCCCCUCCCCUGCCAGCCCCCUCCCCGCUUUGUUAAUCCCGUAAAUGACAAUGUGACAGCCCAGCCGCAGCCCCCCCGUGCAGCCUUUCCCAGUGACCCCUCGGUGACUUUCUCAGCGUUUCCCAGCGAUCCCGCCCGUCCCCAGCUCCGCAUUUCCCUCACACCAUCCAAGGGACGGCCGUUUUCCAGCGCUGAGCCGCCGGGCCGGUGCCGCACCGAGCUGUACCGAGCCCGGUGCCCGGUACUGGUGCGGAGCCCGGAGCCGUACCGGGCCGUCCUGAGCCAGAGCAGCCCCGCCAGGGCUGCACCGUACCGAGCCCGGGGUCCCAUCAGUGCCGGCACCGGAGCCGGAUCGAGCCCGUAGCGGUGCCGUACCGGGCCGUGCCCAGCCCCGGUGCCGCAGCCAGCCCGGGGCCGGUGCAGUGCCGGCCCAUACCGAACCCCGGGCUGCGCCGUCCCGGUGCGGGGUCGCGUGUCCCCCACCCCCUUUCCCCGUGCCGGUGCGGAGCCCGUGCCGGAGCCGCCCCCGCCGGGGCCGAGCCCCGCCGCCAGCACCGCCCCCGGGCUAUAUA